GACGAACGCUGGCGGCGUGCUUAAUACAUGCAAGUCGAACGGAAAGGGCCUGCUCUUGUGGGGUGCUCGAGUGGCGAAAGGGUGAGUAACACGUGUGUAGCCUGCCCUUGACUUUGGGAUAACUUCAGGAAACUGGGGCUAUUACCGGAUAUGAGCUCCUGCUGCAUGGUGGGGGUUGGAAAGUUUCGGCGGUUGGGGAUGGAAUCGCGGUUUAUCGGCUUGUUGGUGAGGUCGUGACUUAGCAAGGCUUUGGCGGGUAGCCGGCUUGAGAAGGUGACAGGCCACACUGCGACUCGGCAGCCGGCCAAACACCUGCGGCAGGAAGCGGCGGAAGAUAUAUCAAUAUGGGCAGAAGCAUGAAGCAGCGACGACGCGUCAGGAAUGACGGCCUUCGGAGUAUAAAGUGCAUUAGCGUGGAAAGAAGAGGAAGUGACGGUAAUGUGCAAGGAAGGGCCGGCUAACUACGUG
RNAcentral lists this ribosomal RNA (468 nucleotides) under uncultured bacterium. RNAcentral's name for it is "partial 16S ribosomal RNA". It matches the Rfam family "Bacterial small subunit ribosomal RNA", at positions 28 to 507 of the family's 1533-position model. The record is from RNAcentral.